GCAGGGGCGGUGCCCUUUGGACCGCCCACCCCUCGCCCCCGGCCCUGGAACUGGGCCUCUUCGCCUCUCCCACUUUGUAUCUGGUCCAUCCUCUCAGCCUGAUCACCUUGAUGACCCUCACCUGACAGAUUACCCAGCCGUGGACUGCCCAGCUGAAAGAGACCAUGGAUUUUUUUUUUUUUUUAAAACACGUUAUACAGCAAUCCUCCAGAGGAUGCAGCAACAAGACACCAUCUUGGAAGCAGAGCAGCCCUCACCAGGCACCAAACCGGCCAGCACAUUGAUCUUCGACUUCCCAGCCUCCAGAACUGUGAAGAAUAAAUUUCUAUUGUUUAUAAA
Symphalangus syndactylus (siamang) is the source of this 339-nucleotide long non-coding RNA. RefSeq lists it as uncharacterized. The record is from RefSeq and is a predicted model, not a curated record. Lineage: Eukaryota; Metazoa; Chordata; Mammalia; Primates; Hylobatidae.